UUUAAGUGCAACCAUAAGUUUUCGCGCCCAACUUUAAUCGUCUAUCUUAUUUGAAAUUUUUUUAUAAUUAGUAUUUUUGUUAUUAUGAGAUGAUAAAAUAUGAUUAGUAUUUUACUCGUGACUUAUGUUUUUAAUUUUGUUCAAAAAAUUUCAAAUAAGACGGACGGUUAAAGUUGGGCGCGGAAAACCAUGGCUGCACUUGAA
Oryza sativa Japonica Group (Japanese rice) is the source of this 204-nucleotide microRNA precursor. It matches the Rfam family "MIR812 microRNA precursor family". NCBI's taxonomy places the organism in Eukaryota, Viridiplantae, Streptophyta, Magnoliopsida, Poales, Poaceae. The record is from Rfam.